Molecule: ribosomal RNA, 327 nt
Filed under: Triticum aestivum (bread wheat)
Lineage: Eukaryota; Viridiplantae; Streptophyta; Magnoliopsida; Poales; Poaceae
Description: partial small subunit ribosomal RNA
Source: RNAcentral
AUGGACAUCUCCGUCAUGGUUCAACCCUGUCACGUUCCUCCCCAGGCUCUUUCUGACAAAAAUAGACGUCCAGACUCCAACCACCAUGAGUUUAUCUUCCUUUGGGAAAUUGGGAUUGUUAGUGCCCUCAAUGAUUGCAUCACUUUGUAUCAGUGGGCCAAAUCUGCCAUUUCAUCUCUUCACUCCAGAUGGAGUAGUUCACAGGAGGAGCAAAGUCUCCAGGAUCGUGUGUGUAUUACAGUUGGAGAGUGGCCUACAACUUCUCAGGGAUACUCUUUCCUGCAAUGCAUGACCACACUAAUAAAGCAGAGUGUGGCAAAGCCAUGA